GGUGUAUUGUAUAACAUUGUGUUUUGAACAAAUAACCGUCAAAGUUACUCUGAGUAGCAACAGCGUUCCCAUGGGAAAGUUAAUGACUAGAUUGGAUGAAUUUCUAAUGGCUCUUGUCACAUAAUUAGAAAGCCAGGGAAAUUUCUAGAAUUCUUCUGCAUGUUGUUCUUGAGAUUUGACAGAAGAAGCUGUUGCCAUAACUACACCUUGUGAAAGUCCAGAUGUAGGACUACUUGGUGCAGCCCUAAUCUGAUAAGUUUGAAGGUCCAUCCCGGAAACAGAAACUGAAUAAUAGUGCAUGCGACCCUAUUCGAACCUUCCAUGACACCACUGGGAUCAUGACUCACACUUCAGGAAACCCUGGUCUAUAAUAUUACAGCAAACAAAUUAAUUUGUAUUUACUUAAAAUGAGUUAUAUGUAAACUACAUCAUGUCCUAUGUACAACAGAAAUUUUUU
Long non-coding RNA from Limulus polyphemus (Atlantic horseshoe crab), 457 nucleotides. RefSeq lists it as uncharacterized. The transcript has 3 exons. NCBI's taxonomy places the organism in Eukaryota, Metazoa, Arthropoda, Merostomata, Xiphosura, Limulidae. The record is from RefSeq and is a predicted model, not a curated record.